Molecule: ribosomal RNA, 860 nt
Filed under: Psychrobacter sp. RKEM 670
Lineage: Bacteria; Pseudomonadati; Pseudomonadota; Gammaproteobacteria; Moraxellales; Moraxellaceae
Description: bacterial SSU rRNA
Rfam family: Bacterial small subunit ribosomal RNA
Source: RNAcentral
GCUCAGAUUGAACGCUGGCGGCAGGCUUAACACAUGCAAGUCGAGCGGAAACGAUGAUAGCUUGCUAUCAGGCGUCGAGCGGCGGACGGGUGAGUAAUACUUAGGAAUCUACCUAGUAGUGGGGGAUAGCUCGGGGAAACUCGAAUUAAUACCGCAUACGUCCUACGGGAGAAAGCAGGGGAUCAUUAGACCUUGCGCUAUUAGAUGAGCCUAAGUCGGAUUAGCUAGAUGGUGGGGUAAAGGCCUACCAUGGCGACGAUCUGUAGCUGGUCUGAGAGGAUGAUCAGCCACACCGGGACUGAGACACGGCCCGGACUCCUACGGGAGGCAGCAGUGGGGAAUAUUGGACAAUGGGGGGAACCCUGAUCCAGCCAUGCCGCGUGUGUGAAGAAGGCCUUUUGGUUGUAAAGCACUUUAAGCAGUGAAGAAGACUCUUCGGUUAAUACCCGGGGACGAUGACAUUAGCUGCAGAAUAAGCACCGGCUAACUCUGUGCCAGCAGCCGCGGUAAUACAGAGGGUGCAAGCGUUAAUCGGAAUUACUGGGCGUAAAGCGAGCGUAGGUGGCUUGAUAAGUCAGAUGUGAAAUCCCCGGGCUUAACCUGGGAACUGCAUCUGAAACUGUUAGGCUAGAGUAGGUGAGAGGGAAGUAGAAUUUCAGGUGUAGCGGUGAAAUGCGUAGAGAUCUGAAGGAAUACCGAUGGCGAAGGCAGCUUCCUGGCAUCAUACUGACACUGAGGCUCGAAAGCGUGGGUAGCAAACAGGAUUAGAUACCCUGGUAGUCCACGCCGUAAACGAUGUCUACUAGUCGUUGGGUCCCUUGAGGACUUAGUGACGCAGCUAACGCAAUAAGUAGACCGCC